Long non-coding RNA from Passer montanus (Eurasian tree sparrow), 1728 nucleotides. RefSeq lists it as uncharacterized. The transcript is spliced from 4 exons. NCBI's taxonomy places the organism in Eukaryota, Metazoa, Chordata, Aves, Passeriformes, Passeridae. The record is from RefSeq and is a predicted model, not a curated record.
UGUCCUUGACUCAUGCAUGUGUUACAAUGUGCAGCAGAAAAUUCAGGUGCUGAUCAACAGUGCAAUAUGGGAUAAAGAAGGAAAUUCUGGCAACAUAUGGGAGAGAUUUAGGCUGUGAAGAGGUGGGAAGUCCUGUCUCAGGAAGAUGUCUUGUAUGCAAGCUACUGCAAUGGGCAAGUCUUGCCCAGCAACUUCCAGGAUGGUUUCACUGGGCCCAUAGCACUCAUGAAGAACAGAGGAGUAUUUCCAGCAGCUCCUUGAAGGCAGACAUUUGUGCCAAUUCCAGACUGCUCCAGAUGUGUCACCAGUCUGCAGAGGCUUGGCUCUGGAGAUAGGGGUCUGCUUGCCAAUGUGCAGCCUUCCCAGUGCUUUCAGACCCAAGGGUCAAGUUCCUGCUGCCACACUCUCAUCCCUGGCUGUGCUGCCAGAUGUGUUGCAGGAUGAAGGGCAGACAUGCUGGAUUUCUUCUUGAGGAGCUGGGAAAAAUGAACGGGCUAAUAGAAACCGUGAGACUGAGAAGGGCUGCUACUGCAGGUUGAAAAGACAGAUGCAAUGGAGAAACUUCUUUCAACUCCUCAAUUCAGCAAGUCUUUGAUUCGAGAGCUUUGUUCACAUCCAGAGCAGCCGGAAGAGAACAGUCACCUUGUAUUUUUGUACCUGAUGAGAAAACUCCAGAUUGUGUGUGUGCAUUGGGACAGUUCAAUGUCUGUCUAUUCCAACUUCAAAGAGGCUUUCAAUGCUCUUUGAGAUGUAGGGUGUGAGGAAGGGUGAGAAUUGCUAAUGCUAGCCCCAUCCUCAUUAAAUCUUUGCCCUCUCUGGAGCAAGCAUGCAAGUGGAGAGAAUAGAUGAUAUGCAUGAGCAACUGAGCAUCUGUGAUCUCAUGACCUUUGACUGUUGUAUUAUGGGAAAUGUAUUCUCUGGUUGCUAUGCUUUUCUAAUUCAUUUGUAUUUUCCUUCAGUGACUCCCUUGUAUUUUCUUUGGUGCUUCUGCGUAACGGUUUCAAGGAAGCACAGAUAUCUCCAAGUUAAGCAUGCAUACAAUAGCCUUAAUUAAAUGUUUGUGGGUAUCCCACAGUAAAGCAGGGGAAAGGGAAAGCAAACAGUUCUGUACUUACUUGUACCUAUCCCUUCUGAGCCCUGGCUUGGGUGGAGGCAUCAGCACUAUUGCCAUUUAAGCCUAUUUCUAAGCUGUUGUGAAAUGAAGGGCACCAGGUCCUGCUGCUCUGCAUGCAAGCACUUCAGGCAUUUCACUCUCAUAAAAAAGCUACAGGUCACCUGUGAAAGGUACAAUGCUAAGAUAUUUUAGACUAGGCUAGAGGAAAUAAAAAAUAAACUAAGGGAAACAAUUCUUAGCUCCACUUACAAAAAUUGAAGACUAAGAUUAAAAAUACCCUUAACCCUUCCUUAAAAUACACUGAGAUGCUAUUGGAAGAGUAGCAUAAAAGCAAAGAUUUUUGUCUUCUUCGAUAUUCUGAUAUUAAUAUUUUCUAUUCUCUGUGCUAUUAGCACAAUCUUACUCUUGAUGCACCUUUCAGAGUGAAAUAAUUAUUAUUAUUGUUAUUAUUUUAUAUGGGAUCUUCGCUUCUUUUACAAGCAGUUAACUACAUUUUUCUUAUGUAUAGAAGAAAGCUGUGAAGAAAUUUGUUUUCAUUUCAGGCAUUUAAAAUAAAUAUACAUGAAGUAAAUGAAAUUUGGAAGGAGAACUUUCAUCAUGCAAAGAUGGAGGAA